AGUGAACGCUGGCGGUAGGCCUAACACAUGCAAGUCGAACGGCAGCACAGUAAGAGCUUGCUCUUACGGGUGGCGAGUGGCGGACGGGUGAGGAAUACAUCGGAAUCUACUUUUUCGUGGGGGAUAACGUAGGGAAACUUACGCUAAUACCGCAUACGACCUACGGGUGAAAGCAGGGGAUCUUCGGACCUUGCGCGAUUGAAUGAGCCGAUGUCGGAUUAGCUAGUUGGCGGGGUAAAGGCCCACCAAGGCGACGAUCCGUAGCUGGUCUGAGAGGAUGAUCAGCCACUCUGGAACUGAGACACGGUCCAGACUCCUACGGGAGGCAGCAGUGGGGAAUAUUGGACAAUGGGCGCAAGCCUGAUCCGGCCAUACCGCGUGGGUGAAGAAGGCCUUCGGGUUGUAAAGCCCUUUUGUUGGGAAAGAAAAGCAGCAGGUUAAUACCCCGCUGUUCUGACGGUACCCAAAGAAUAAGCACCGGCUAACUUCGUG
RNAcentral lists this ribosomal RNA (492 nucleotides) under uncultured bacterium. RNAcentral's name for it is "partial 16S ribosomal RNA". It matches the Rfam family "Bacterial small subunit ribosomal RNA", at positions 29 to 507 of the family's 1533-position model. The record is from RNAcentral.